This 492-nucleotide ribosomal RNA is filed under the name uncultured bacterium. Its description in RNAcentral is "partial 16S ribosomal RNA". It matches the Rfam family "Bacterial small subunit ribosomal RNA", at positions 29 to 507 of the family's 1533-position model. The record is from RNAcentral.
AGUGAACGCUGGCGGUAGGCCUAACACAUGCAAGUCGAACGGCAGCACAGUAAGAGCUUGCUCUUACGGGUUGCGAGUGGCGGACGGGUGAGGAAUACAUCGGAAUCUACUUUUUCGUGGGGGCUAACGUAGGGAAACUUACGCUAAUACCGCAUACGACCUACGGGUGAAAGCAUCGGAUCUUCGGACCUUGCGCGAUUGAAUGAGCCGAUUUCGGAUUAGCUAGUUGGCGGGGUAAAGGCCCACCAAGGCGACGAUCCGUAGCUGGUCUGAGAGGAGGAUCAGCGACACUGGAACUGAGACACGGUCCAGACUCCUACGGGAGGCAGCAGUGGGGAAUAUGGGACAAUGGGCGCAAGCCUGAUCCAGCCAUAGCGCGUGGGUGAAGAAGGCCUUCGGGUUGUAAAGCCCUUUUGUUGGGAAAGAAAAGCAGCAGGUUAAGACGCAGCUGUUGUGACGGUACCCGAAGAAGAAGCACCGGCUAACUUCGUG